This 253-nucleotide ribosomal RNA is filed under the name uncultured bacterium. Its description in RNAcentral is "partial 16S ribosomal RNA". It matches the Rfam family "Bacterial small subunit ribosomal RNA", at positions 524 to 776 of the family's 1533-position model. The record is from RNAcentral.
UACGUAGGGGGCAAGCGUUGUCCGGAUUUAUUGGGCGUAAAGAGCGUGUAGGCGGUUUGGUAGGUCCGUUGCGAAAACUCGAGGCUCAACCUCGAGACGCCGAUGGAAACCAUCAGACUAGAGUCCGGAAGAGGAGAGUGGAAUUCCCGGUGUAGCGGUGAAAUGCGUAGAGAUCGGGAGGAACACCAGUGGCGAAGGCGGCCAUCUGGAUCAACACUGACGCUGAGGCACGAAAGCGUGGGGAGCAAACAGG